CCUGGUGAAAUUAGCGCUGUGGAACCACCCGAUCCCAUCCCGAACUCGGAAGUGAAACGCAGCUGCGCCGAUGGUAGUGUGGCUCAAGCCAUGCG
RNAcentral lists this ribosomal RNA (95 nucleotides) under Mycobacterium tuberculosis. Lineage: Bacteria; Bacillati; Actinomycetota; Actinomycetes; Mycobacteriales; Mycobacteriaceae. RNAcentral also lists the same sequence under 1 other name. The record is from RNAcentral.